This 497-nucleotide ribosomal RNA is filed under the name uncultured bacterium. RNAcentral's name for it is "partial 16S ribosomal RNA". It matches the Rfam family "Bacterial small subunit ribosomal RNA", at positions 28 to 507 of the family's 1533-position model. The record is from RNAcentral.
GAUGAACGCUGGCGGCGUGCCUAAUACAUGCAAGUCGAGCGAACAGAUGAGGAGCUUGCUCCUCUGACGUUAGCGGCGGACGGGUGAGUAACACGUGGAUAACCUACCUAUAAGACUGGGAUAACUUCGGGAAACCGGAGCUAAUACCGGAUAAUAUAUUGAACCGCAUGGUUCAAUAGUGAAAGACGGUUUUGCUGUCACUUAUAGAUGGAUCCGCGCCGCAUUAGCUAGUUGGUAAGGUAACGGUUUACCAAGGCAACGAUGCGUAGCCGACCUGAGAGGGUGAUCGGCCACACUGGAAGUGAGACACGGUCCAGACUCUUACGGGAGGCAGCAGUAGGGAAUCUUCCGCAGUAGGCGAAAGCAUGACGGAGCAACGGGGCGUGGGUGAUGAAGGUCUUCGGAUCGUAAAACUCUGUUAUUAGGGAAGAACAAAUGUGUAAGUAACUGUGCACGUCUUGACGGUACCUGGUCAAAAAGCCACGGCUAACUACGUG